This 58-nucleotide small nuclear RNA is filed under the name Chelonoidis abingdonii (Abingdon island giant tortoise). RNAcentral describes it as "U5 spliceosomal RNA (ENSCABG00000005009.1)". The record is from RNAcentral. Lineage: Eukaryota; Metazoa; Chordata; Testudines; Testudinidae.
UUUCUCUUCAGAUCGUAUAAAUCUUUUGUCUUGUACUAAAGAUUUCCAUGGAGAAGAA